This 419-nucleotide ribosomal RNA is filed under the name uncultured bacterium. RNAcentral's name for it is "bacterial SSU rRNA". It matches the Rfam family "Bacterial small subunit ribosomal RNA", at positions 355 to 772 of the family's 1533-position model. The record is from RNAcentral.
UAAGGAAUAUUGGUCAAUGGACGCAAGUCUGAACCAGCCAUGCCGCGUGAAGGAUGAAGGUCCUCUGGAUUGUAAACUUCUUUUAUCUGGGACGAAAACGGGAUUUUUAUCUCAAUUGACGGUACCAGAGGAAUAAGCACCGGCUAACUCCGUGCCAGCAGCCGCGGUAAUACGGAGGGUGCGAGCGUUAUCCGGAUUUACUGGGUUUAAAGGGUGCGUAGGUGGGCUUAUAAGUCAGUGGUGAAAUCUCCGAGCUUAACUUGGAAACUGCCGUUGAUACUAUAGGUCUUGAAUUAUCUGGAGGUGAGAGGAAUAUGUCAUGUAGCGGUGAAAUGCUUAGAUAUGACAUAGAACACCAAUUGCGAAGGCAGCUUACUACAUAUAAAUUGACGCUGAGGCACGAAAGCGUGGGGAUCAAA